Non-coding RNA from Pangasianodon gigas (Mekong giant catfish), 72 nucleotides. The record is from the annotation of a GenBank genome assembly. NCBI's taxonomy places the organism in Eukaryota, Metazoa, Chordata, Actinopteri, Siluriformes, Pangasiidae.
UUAAUGGAGGACUAGUGGUUAGGCCUCGGCGCUUUCACCACCAUGGCCUGGGUUCAAUUCCCGGCCAGGAAA